UACGAAGGGGACUAGCGUUGUUCGGAAUCACUGGGCGUAAAGCGCACGUAGGCGGAUAUGUCAGUCAGGGGGUGAAGUCCCGGGGCUUUAACCUCGGAACUGCCUUUGAUACAGCAUAUCUUGAGUCCGAUAGAGGUGGGUGGAAUUCCUAGUGUAGAGGUGAAAUUCGUAGAUAUUAGGAAGAACACCGGUGGCGAAGGCGGCCCACUGGAUCGGUACUGACGCUGAGGUGCGAAAGCGUGGGGAGCAAACAGG
Molecule: ribosomal RNA, 255 nt
Filed under: uncultured bacterium
Lineage: Bacteria
Description: partial 16S ribosomal RNA
Rfam family: Bacterial small subunit ribosomal RNA
Source: RNAcentral